AGAGUUUGAUCCUGGCUCAGAUUGAACGCUGGCGGCAUGGUUAAGACAUGCAAGUCGAGCGCGAAAGCCCCUUCGGGGGUGAGUAGAGCGGCGCAAGGGCGAGGAAUACGUUCCUACGUACCCCGAGGUCAGGGAUAGCCCAGGGAAACCUGGAUUAAUACCUGAUGUGGUCCUUCGGGAUCAAAGGCUUGCUGCCUCGGGAGCGGGGAACGUCCUAUCAGGUUGUUGGUGGGGUAACGGCUCACCAAGCCGAAGACGGGUAGCGGGUGUGAGAGCAUGACCCGCCGCAUCGGGACUGAGACACUGCCCGGACUCCUACGGGAGGCUGCAGUAACGAAUCUUCCGCAAUGCGCGAAAGCGUGACGGAGCAAUGCCGCGUGCAGGAUGAAGCCCCUCGGGGUGUAAACUGCUGUCAGGGUUUAGGAACACAAUGACCAGACCCAAAGGAAGGGCCGGCUAACUUCGUGCCAGCAGCCGCGGUAAUACGAACGGCCCGAGCGUUACUCGGAAUCAUUGGGCUUAAAGCGUACGUAGGCGGGCGCGCAGGCACCUUGUGAAAUCCCUCGGCUCAACCGAGGAAUUGCUUGGUGAACCGCGUGCCCUUGAGCAAGUAGGGGCUGUCCGAACGAUAGGUGGACCGGUGAAAUGC
This 649-nucleotide ribosomal RNA is filed under the name uncultured bacterium. RNAcentral's name for it is "bacterial SSU rRNA". It matches the Rfam family "Bacterial small subunit ribosomal RNA", at positions 8 to 689 of the family's 1533-position model. The record is from RNAcentral.